GGCUAACGCUGGCGGCGUGUCUUAGCCAUGCAAGUCGAGCGGACUUAUGGGGUAACUUAUAAGUCAGCGGCGGACGGCGGAGUAACACGUAGCUAACCUACCCUCUGGACGGGGAUAACCUACCGAAAGGUGGGCUAAUACCCGAUGUAGUCAUCCUGUAUAGGGGUGAUGAAAGGUGGGCUUCUGUUUACAAGCUCAUGCUGGAGGAGGGGGCUGCGGCCUAUCAGGUAGUUGGUAGGGUAAUAGCCUACCAAGCCGAUGACGGGUAGCCGGCCUGAGAGGGUGACCGGCCCGAGGGGCACUGAGAUACGGGUCCCACUCCUACGGGAGGCAGCAGGCUAGAAAUUUGGGCAAUGGGGGAAACCCUGACCCAGUGACGCCGCGUGCAGGAAGGAGCCCUUCGGGGUGUAAACUGCUGUCGUGUAGGGAGAAGGGUACUAAGGUGAACAAUCUUAGUACUUGACGGUACUACAGGAGGAAGCCCAGGCCUAACCUCGUG
This 499-nucleotide ribosomal RNA is filed under the name uncultured bacterium. RNAcentral describes it as "bacterial SSU rRNA". It matches the Rfam family "Bacterial small subunit ribosomal RNA", at positions 28 to 507 of the family's 1533-position model. The record is from RNAcentral.